UACGAAGGGGGCUAGCGUUGUUCGGAAUUACUGGGCGUAAAGGGCGCGUAGGCGGUUGUUCAAGUCAGGCGUGAAAGCCCCGGGCUUAACCUGGGAAUUGCGCUUGAGACUGAGCGACUAGAGUUCGGGAGAGGCGGGUGGAAUUCCCAGUGUAGAGGUGAAAUUCGUAGAUAUUGGGAAGAACACCAGUGGCGAAGGCGUCCCGCUGGACCGACACUGACGCUGAGGCGCGACAGCGUGGGGAGCAAACAGG
This 253-nucleotide ribosomal RNA is filed under the name uncultured bacterium. RNAcentral describes it as "partial 16S ribosomal RNA". It matches the Rfam family "Bacterial small subunit ribosomal RNA", at positions 524 to 776 of the family's 1533-position model. The record is from RNAcentral.